GACGAACGCUGGCGGCGUGCCUAAUACAUGCAAGUUGAGCGCUGAAGGUUGGUGCUUGUACCUACUGGAUGAGCAGCGAACGGGUGAGUAACGCGUGGGUAAUCUGCCUUUGAGCGGGGGACAACAUUUGGAAACGAAUGCUAAUACCGCAUAAUAACUUUAAACACAAGUUUCAAGUUUGAAAGAUGCAAUUGCAUCACUCUAAGAUGAUCUCGCGUUGUAUUAGCUAGUUGGUGAAGUAAAGGCUCACCAAGGCGAAGGUACAUAGCCGACCUGAGAGGGGGGUCGGCCCCAUUGGGACUGGGGCACCGGCCAAACCCCCACGGGGGGCAGCAGUAGGGGAACCUCGGCAAAGGGGGGAAGGCUGAACGGGCAACGCCGGGGGGGUGAAGAAGGGUUUCGGAUCGUAAAACUCUGUUGGUAGAGAAGAACGAUGGGGAGAGUGGAAAGCUCAUCAAGUGACGGUAACUACCCAGAAAGGGACGGCUAACUACGUG
This 497-nucleotide ribosomal RNA is filed under the name uncultured bacterium. RNAcentral's name for it is "partial 16S ribosomal RNA". It matches the Rfam family "Bacterial small subunit ribosomal RNA", at positions 28 to 507 of the family's 1533-position model. The record is from RNAcentral.